UAGUGCCUGCGCAGUGGUGUUUAUAG
Molecule: non-coding RNA, 26 nt
Filed under: Mus musculus (house mouse)
Lineage: Eukaryota; Metazoa; Chordata; Mammalia; Rodentia; Muridae
Source: RNAcentral